CUGCGCUCCUUCCCCUGGCAGGGGGGCGGCGGGCGAGCGGAGAGGCCCGCGGGGCUCGCGGGAGUCCAGGGGCAGACGGGAUGGGUCUCCGUGCUGAAACCCCCGGCGCUCCUGCCACAGCUUAGAAGCAAAGUUAAGAGACUCAUCAGAUUCUGAGCUGCUGCGGGAUAUUUUGCAGAAGACUGUGAAGCAUCCUGUGUGUGUGUGAAGCACCCGCCGUCAGUCAAGAAAGCCCGGUGCUUUCUCUCAGAACUCAUCAAAAAGACGUGCUGUAUUGCCCAGAAGCCAUCGUGUCGCUGGUCGGGAUCCUGCGGAGGCUGGCUGCCUGCUGGGAGCACCAGCAGUCUCCUGAGGUCUACGUGGCCUUUACCGUCCACAACCCAGAGACGUGCCAGCUGUUCACCACCGAGCUAGGCCUGUCCUAGCAGCCCCACACAAAACGCUCACGUCCUGUCCCCAAACACCGCCAUCCUCAAGCACGUGCUCUGUUUCCAGGCCGGGCUGGGAUCAUAUGGGAAGCGGAAGCUCAUCAUGACCAGAAACUGUUUCCCUAUGGAGAGCACUUGGAGAUGGCAAUGCUGAACCUCACACUGUAGGACUCACACACGACUCCAACGGGAUUGUGAGAAUCAAGUCAAUCUCAUGGGAAGAAUUUUUAUAUGGGAAAGCGGAUAAAACUUUCAUUGUACUGGAAUGUUUGGAGAAUGUUAAAUUCCAAAUCAGAAACCACAAACUGCCCUCUAAUAAGACAUCGGCUAUCUAAGCGUGUGGGUGCCCCCUUUCUGCCAGCAGUUCUGGUUCUUACGAAAAUCACCAUAUAUCAGACAUGAAAAUUCUGG
RNAcentral lists this long non-coding RNA (839 nucleotides) under Homo sapiens (human). RNAcentral's name for it is "non-protein coding lnc-ZNF717-4:4". The record is from RNAcentral. Lineage: Eukaryota; Metazoa; Chordata; Mammalia; Primates; Hominidae.